UGUUUUUCAAUGAAUAGAUUCUAUCUUCUGUUUCUGGCUGUUUUCUAGUUCCUUAAUAUCCCUUCCUAUUGUCAUUUUCAUGACCCUCUUCUGCCUUUGAAGAUCUCCUGGCUCUCCUUUACCCCAUUUCACAUUCCAGGAUGAUUCUUGUGUCACGCCCCUCCAUUUCUCCUCCCAUUACACUUUUUUGUUGUGUGGCAGGACUAUGGGUCAGCAAGGAGGAUCAAGAAGUAAAAGCCAUGUAAUAAAUCAGUUGAGAUAUGUUGCAAAAAGAAAAAUAAAACACCCCACAAGCUAAAAAGGGAAUUCUGUUUGGGGGCAGCACUGUUCUAAAUGCUGGAGACAAAGCAGUGAAUGAUAGCAACUGAGUUACAGAAUGUUAGGGCCGGAAGAAGAGAUCUUUAUGCAACACAAGUUUAUUGCAUAUCCUCAGAAUGCCAGGAGCUGUAGUAGGUCCUGGAGAUUUAACCAUACGCUGGUCUAAAAGCUCUGAGAAGUGGCUCUUUUUGGGAGAGAGGCAACCCAGCCCAGUGAUCCUUGAGACUUGAGACAGCUAGAAUGAAGAUUAAGUCCUUGUUAUUCGUUGUCUUUCUAGUUGGAAUCCCCAGAGAGUUUGCAUUUGAGGAUGGGUCAGUUGACUCUGUGCUCAGGGCUGCUAAGCUUCGAAAGGGCCUGUGAGGUGAGAGGAUGCCAUGUGCUGCCCGUGGGAAUGGUCAUGACAGCGCUAGUGAAAUAAACGAGAUUCUGGAGGAUUUCAUGUUUUUUUCUGUUGAGUAAAGAUAAGAGCGGGAUUAAAAUAUUUUUUAAAAAUAUUUUAUUAUUUAUGGUUACGUUGGAGCUAUUAGCUAUGUAUAAAAAUAAAAAAAGAAGCAACAAAAGGAUAAACAACAAAAAAAAUCGACUGGGCGCAGUGGCUCACGCCUGUAAUCCCAGCACUUUGGGACGCCGAGGCGGGCAGAUCACCUGAGGUCAGGAGUUUGAGACCAGUCUGGCCAGUGUGG
Molecule: long non-coding RNA, 1001 nt
Filed under: Homo sapiens (human)
Lineage: Eukaryota; Metazoa; Chordata; Mammalia; Primates; Hominidae
Description: HSALNT0070158
Source: RNAcentral